RNAcentral lists this transfer RNA (85 nucleotides) under Felis catus (domestic cat). It matches the Rfam family "tRNA". Rfam says of the family: Transfer RNA (tRNA) molecules are approximately 80 nucleotides in length. Their secondary structure includes four short double-helical elements and three loops (D, anti-codon, and T loops). The record is from Rfam by way of RNAcentral. Lineage: Eukaryota; Metazoa; Chordata; Mammalia; Carnivora; Felidae.
ACCUGAGUGGCUCAGCCGAUUGAGCAUCUGACUUCGGCUCAGGUCAUGAUCUCACAGUUUGUGAGUUCAAGCCCCACAUCAGGCU